UAACUCUCUAACUUUGCUUAAUGAAUGAACCGUGCGUUGGCCUAGUGGUUAAUAAACGUCGUGUAAAUGAUAAGGGACUAGAGAGAGCGAGUUUAAGUCAUGGUGGUCGCUGCUUAUAUCUACAAUUUAAUGUUCUACAAGUUACCUCGGUAAUCAAAUAUAAUAGGGUCAUUGGGACUAGAGAGAACGAGUUUAAGUCAUGGUGGUCGCUGCUUAAAGUUACCUUGGUAAUCAAAUAUAAUAGGGUCAUUGUCGUUUGCUUAAUGAUGUUGUAAAUAUUGAGUAGGUAUUGGCACCGUGCAGCCCUUGUUCUCAAAGAUCUUAUGCUUCUUUGAGUGUAA
Long non-coding RNA from Cucurbita maxima (winter squash), 341 nucleotides. RefSeq lists it as uncharacterized. NCBI's taxonomy places the organism in Eukaryota, Viridiplantae, Streptophyta, Magnoliopsida, Cucurbitales, Cucurbitaceae. The record is from RefSeq and is a predicted model, not a curated record. The transcript has 2 exons.